This 455-nucleotide ribosomal RNA is filed under the name uncultured bacterium. RNAcentral's name for it is "bacterial SSU rRNA". It matches the Rfam family "Bacterial small subunit ribosomal RNA", at positions 340 to 786 of the family's 1533-position model. The record is from RNAcentral.
UACGGAAGGCAGCAGGGGGAAUAUUGCACAAUGGGCGAAAGCCUGAUGCAGCUAUGCCGCGUGUAUGAAGAAGGCCUUAGGGUUGUAAAGUACUUUCAUCGGGGAGGAAAAACAAAACUAAUAAUUUUAUUUCUUGACGUUACCCGAAAAAGAAGCACCGGCUAACUCCGUGCCAGCAGCCGCGGUAAUACGGAGGGUGCUAGCGUUAAUCAGAAUUACUGGGCGUAAAGAGCACGUAGGUGGUUUUUUUAAAGUCAGAUGUGAAAUCCCUGGGCUUAACCUAGGAACUGCAUUUUGAAACUGAAAUACUAGAGUAUCGUAGAGGGAGGUAGAAUUCUAGGUGUAGCGGUGAAAUGCGUAGAUAUCUGGAGGAAUACCUGUGGCGAAAGCGGCCUCCUAAACGAAUACUGACACUGAGGUGCGAAAGCGUGGGGAGCAAACAGGGAUUAGAUACC